AUACGGAGGGUGCAAGCGUUAAUCGGAAUUACUGGGCGUAAAGCGCACGUAGGCGGCUUGUUAAGUCAGAUGUGAAAGCCCCGGGCUCAACCUGGGAACUGCAUUUGAUACUGGCAGGCUAGAGUAUGCUAGAGGCAAGUGGAAUUCCGGGUGUAGCGGUGAAAUGCGUAGAUAUCCGGAGGAACACCAGUGGCGAAGGCGGCUCUCUGGACCGAUACUGACGCUGAGGUGCGAAAGCGUGGGGAGCAAACAGGAUUAGAUACCCCUGUAGUCC
This 274-nucleotide ribosomal RNA is filed under the name uncultured bacterium. RNAcentral's name for it is "partial 16S ribosomal RNA". It matches the Rfam family "Bacterial small subunit ribosomal RNA", at positions 523 to 796 of the family's 1533-position model. The record is from RNAcentral.